RNAcentral lists this long non-coding RNA (40815 nucleotides) under Gossypium barbadense (sea-island cotton). Its description in RNAcentral is "long non-coding RNA (GBAR_LNC008338)". Lineage: Eukaryota; Viridiplantae; Streptophyta; Magnoliopsida; Malvales; Malvaceae. The record is from RNAcentral.
ACCCCCAUAGUGGAUUGGUGAGCAUUUUAAGAUUCCAUCCUCCUUACCUUCUCUUCGCUAAUACCUCCAGCGAUCCCUACACUUGCUAUAGCAACUUCAGUCAAGGCCACUUGAUAAGAUAAUAUCAGCUCCUUCAACGAUGGUUUCUUCACAGAGUUGGAUGAUGCAGAAGGAAAAAUGUGCUCAUUUACUUCUUGAGGCAUAAAAUCCUUCCACUGUUUUCUUACUAUAGUAGGGCAAUAAGGAAAUUUCUACAUGCUUAGGUGUUCAUGCCACGAAAACAACAUCUGUGUCUCACCACUAGUAGUGUAACACGCUUAACCUAUCUCUGUCACCAGAUUAGAGUUAUGGAACAUUACCAAACAAUCGAAACAUCAUUUAAGAUUAAAACAUCUCAAUAAAAUCAUUUUACAUUAAUUAAAUAAAUCUUAUUAAAAACUUAUCAAACAUAUGCAUUUGGGCCUUAAAUCGAGCUUUUAAGGCCCUAAAAAUUAUUUACAAGCAAUUCGGGACUAAUUUGAAACAAGUUAGAAGAUUUGGGAAAAAGUUACAAAAUUUGAAAACAGGGAUCACACGGUCGUGUUUGUAACAACCCUUUUUCAAUAGCGUCAAAAAUAGUGGUUUCAGAACCACGAUUUCAACGAGAGAAUAAAUAUUUUAAUAUUUAUUUAAAGUCUAUGAGAUUAUAAUAGGGUCGUAUUAGGGUUUCGUUAAUAAUUUUUGUAGUUUAAAUGGUUAAUUAGAUAAAAAUUAAAUCGUAAAUGUUGCAAAAGUGGGUUUCUAUUAGUUAAAAGGGCUAAAUGACUAUGGAAAGGAAAGUUAAUGCACUUAGAUGGUAAAUAUACCAUAAUUAAGUUAUUGGAUAGUUAUGGACAAGAUUUAAUUAAAUUUUUUUAUUAGUAAUAAGGGCAAGAUGGUAAAUUAGUAAAUAAACAUAAAGUUAAUUAGGCCAAAUAUCAUCAUCUUCCUCAUUUCUUCAAGCCUUGACUGAAAUCACCAUUAGAAAAAGAGCUUGGAGUAUUUGAUCACUUGUGUCUUGUGCAUGGUAGGUUUUCAAGUCCCGAUUUUAUUGAUUUUUAUGUUUUUGAGCUCGUAUUAACUUAAUCUAACUAGUCUAGGGGGUUAAUCUGCAAAACUGUUAAAGGGUGAUGGACUUGCCAUAAUUGUUUUUGAAUGUGUUUUGAUGUUAAUUGGAAUAUUAUUAGUCUUGGUUGUUAAACAAGCAUGUUUUGUUAAAGGAUUUUUAGUAAAUUUAGGGUUUAAGGAUUUAUUCAUGAAAAUAGUGAAAUUUCAUGGUAAUAUUAUGAAAUGAUGAUUUAAGUGGGUUGAUAUGAGUCCCUAAGAAAUUUGGCUAACUUGUAUGGAGGUUAAAAUAGUUAAAUUUCAAGUUACGAGCUUAAGGAAUAAAUUAUGAAACGUUAAAAUAUUAGGGGUAAUUUUAUAAUCUUACAUAAAUAUGAAUUAUUGAUUGAAUUGAAUACUUGAAGUACUUAAUUGAAUGAAAUUAUCUAUUUAGAUCAAGAUAAACAACAACCGGAUUUAAAUUGAGGAAAUGCGAAAGCUUCGGAUUUGUUUCCAAUUCCACUAUUACAAUCAUAGUUGUCGAGGUAAGUUCGUAUGAAUUAUAAUCGUAUUAGUGUUAGUUAAAUUAAUUUAUAUGUUAUAUCGUGUGAGUUCUAAAUAAACUUGAAUAUACAUGCAUCGAUGCUUUGAGUAAUUGACGGAUAAAUAAUCCCAUUUGAACCUUAAGAAUUUUUAGGAUACGAAUGACAUGUGGUUAGGGAUUUCAUGUUUCAGGUAUUGGUCUUAAAUGUCUUACUGAUGGCUGAGGUCCAACAUUUGUUCCGGAUUCUCCACAGCUCAUGUGAGCAGCAUCGUGUAACUAACAUUCCGAACCAUAGCUCGUGUGAGCUAUUGAAAAGGAAAUGUUACGGUUAUAUGGAAAGACACACUAUAUGUGAGCAUUCCAAAGUGUCUAAUAUAAUUCUAAAUGGUUCAAUAGGUAAGCAAAUGUUAAAGGCAAGGUAUGUAUACAAUUGAACAAUGGUUAAUGAUCUUAUGAAAAGGUUAGUGAGUUAAAUGAUAUGUAUAUGAAAUCUACUUACGAUAUGAUUGAACUCAUAUGUAUCAUGUAUGAACUUAUUAACUUGUGAGUUUGAUAGUGCUUGUAUAGGAUUUUACUGAGCUUAUGCUCUUGAUAAUGAUAUUAUGCAUAUUUUAUAAUGUGUAAUUAAGAAAUGGUAAGUUAUGUUUGAGUUUAUACGAGCUUAUUAAGCACUAGUUGCUUACGUUGUUACUUUCCUUUAUUUCGUAGAUUACUGGAAGUUCGAUCGGUUGAAAGUUUGACGGAGAUCUAUCACACUAUCCAGCAACCAUUUUGAUAGUUUUUGAGUUAUUUUGGCCAUGAUUAUAAAUGACAUGUAUAGGACUUUGUGUAAUGGUAGUUCGUGAAUGUGUUAAUGGUUGAUUUGGUAUGUAUAUGCUUUUGAAGUUUAUGUUUUGUUUGAUGAACGUUGGAGUUUUGACAAGUUAGGUCAUGUUGGCCACUUUAGGCACUUGUAAUGUAUGAUCAUUUUUGGUAUGUUUGUGAUGAUAUGUAAAUGGUUGUAUAUGAUUCAUUUGGUAGUCAAAGGAUCUAGAUUUUGUGCUUGAAAUGUGGUUAUAUUGACUUGUUUUGAUUAAUGGUGUUUUGGUAUAAAUGUGGUGAGACAAGUUGUUUCGAAUUGGUAUGUUUAGAUGUGAUUGAAUGAUGCUUAAGCCUAUUGAAUGUGUGCACAAGUGGAGUGGUUGGAUAGGUAUGUUUUUACCUUGAAAUAGCUUGAUUUUAGGGUCAAAGUUUGGAACAUACGGCCUAGGACACGGGCUGUCACAUGGCCUGGCUACACGGCCGUGUGUCACUUGUAAGUUUUUAGUGUAUUAAGUCAGUGUGUUAUACGGCCUGCUACACGAUCGUGUGCCACAAGUCAGAGAGUUACACAGUCUGGCGCAUGGCUUGCGACACUGCCAUGUAAACUAACUUAGUGACACGAUUUGAGACAUGGGUUGGAACACGGCUGUGUGUCCUUUUGUUCGAUUGUUACAUGGCUUGGAACAUGUCACACGACUGUGUGACCCCUGUUUUCAAAUUUUGUAACUUUUUCCAAAAUCAUUUGAUUUGUUUCAAAUUAGUCUUGAAUUGCUUCUAAACUGUUUUUAGGACCUUAAAGGCUCGAUUUAAGGCCCAAAUGCAUAUGUUUGAUAGGUUUUUAAUAAGAUUUAUUUAAUUAAUGUAAAAUGAUUUUAUUGAGAUGUUUUGAUGUUAAAUGAUGUUUCGGUUGUUUGGUAAAGCUCCGUAACCCUAAUCUGGCGAUGGAGACAGGUUAGGGGUGUUACAUGUAGACAAAAAUUUCAUUAAACUUCCAGGAGGGUCAUGUUGAAAAAUCACACCAAAAGUGUCUUUUGUAUGUGGUCUUGGUGGAGGUGGAGACCCAGAAGGAAAACCAAUAGGAGAACGAAUCAUAGUAGGAACUGUAGCAAUGGUGGCCACAUCACCAGAUGUCGCAGCACAAUCCUUCCAUUUCUUUCAGUGAAGUUCCCUUAUAGGGUUACCCUCAUCUUCAUUGCUUAGAAUAAUAUUGACAGCUCCAACAAUAGUCUUUUGUUUCUUUCGACUACUUGCGCUUCCUUCCUCAACAGAAGCACUAGAAGGACCUCCUUGCAUAUUUUGCAUAAAAGAUCAAAUGUUCAUGUAUUCGUUGAUCUCCUUAGAUAAACUUGGUGAUUCCCUGAACUCUCUUUAACGACGUGAGUUGUGUCUGCAUCACCAACAAAUCUAUUAUUAAUGCCAACAGAAAUCAUAAGAGGCUUCGUGCUACCUCUUAAUCCUCGGCAGGUUUAAAGGACUGCGAACAAGGCUUUAAUUUAUAAAAAAGUAUAAAAAUAAUUUGCAAGCUCAUUCUUUUUCCAUAACAUAAUAAGUCUUAACUCAUCAGUGGCACCAUGUAGCCAUGUGAACUGAGUGGGCAAAAUUGAAACGGUGUCCGCACCAUUAUCAUCACCAACAUGCCUCCAUAUAUUAAAGCUUAGAUCUGCGAGGCAAUAGUGAAAUACAUUUCUCACAGUUACCAACUUCUCUAGCUUCAAUACACGGCCUAGCCGAAGCCGAUAAAAUUAAGCCCACCCCACUUUCGAUAUAAUAUCUUCUCUUCGUAAGCAUACACUUUUGAUAGGUGUAAACCAUUCAAUAGAAAAGUCAAAACCAACCUUAAAUUUACUCUUUACCCAUAUGUACUUACAGUGAUUCAAUCGAAGGUUCAAAGACCAAUUGGAAACAAUCAAUUCCAGUUUAUUGCGAUGAGUAAAGUAAAAUAAACCCAGCGAACCCCCUCGAUUAUAAGCCUUGAGUUGGUACAGAUUCUGGAAAACAGAAAUUAAUGGGGCCUCUUCUCGCCGGCCACAUGAAAUAAAGUAAGCCACCACGACCCACCAUGGGAAGCCAGAUAACUCCCCCAGAGCUGUCCUAUACUCGUCAAGUAAAUUGUAGAAAAAUAGAUGGAGUGAAAAAUGAAAACCUACUUCUAGUACUUGUAAGGGAAACAGAAAACUUCCAUCAGUGGUGUCACUCAAUUCCCUUAACCCUUCAACAAUCGAGAACUUAUAAGCAACAUUGGGUAUUUGAAUCCCUUAGCAACCAAGUGACUAUUCAUCUAUUCUUUCUUGGUGCUAUAAGCAUAGGCUUUCGUCUCUAUAGGAGUAUUCACUUGACGGUGUUAUGAAGGCUCACUUCCUAAACCACUACGGUUACCUUGGAUAAUACAACCACUUCCUUUUGCCCUAACGAUUGUGUCCAAAUAAACCCAAAAAAAUCACAAAUACAAUUUGCAGAUUUUAAGAAAAUUCCUUUGAAACACGAUUAUCCUUUUUAAUUGCAGCUCUUUCUAAAAAAAUUCAAAUUCAAAUGGUUUCAUUCUUAGGGUUAAGGUAACCUCAUUUUAAAAGAAUUUUACACUUUAACGAUUCAUGUGUCCAAGAAUGAAGGCACAAUCAGUUGUAUACAAUUGUACUUCUCCUCAACAUGUAGUGAAGUGUAUAUGACAAUCUAAACUGAAAAGUGUAUACAAUAAGUUUCUCUCUCAGUAAUCUCGCACCUCGCGAAGCCAAGUUCUCAAAAGAGUCACUUUAUAACUCUUCUUCGAACUAGGUGGGGGACAAAUUAUUAUGGUAUUCAUCAGUACCAUCCCGCUACCUAGUUACCUGAUUGGAUUUCGACCCGUAGCCUACAUUGUUUGCACCCUGAGUUCAUACAAGAGGUGUUAGCGUCUUUUAAUGAGCUCGCACGAUGUGGAUUCGCACUACCAUGCAGGCAAACCCAUACAUAGAAAACACGUGUUAAUUUUAGAGUAGGAUAGGUAUUGGCAUGCAAUAAGUUUCUCUCUCAGUAAUCUCUCACCUCGCGAAGCCAAGUUCUUAGAAGAGUCACUUUAUAACUCUUAUUCGAACUAGGUGGGGGACAAAUUGUUAUGGUAUUCAUCAUUACCAUCGCACUACCUAGUUACCUAAUCGGAUUCCGACCUGUAGCCUACAUUGUUCGCACCCUGAGUUCAUACAUGAGGUGUUAGCGUUCUUUAAUGAGCUCGCACGAUGUGGGUUCGCACUACCAUGCAGGCAAACCCAUACACAGAAAACAUGUGUUAAUUUUAAAGUAGAGUACAUAUUGGCAUGCAUAAGAACCUACCUACAAUGUCACAUCCGUGAACAAUAACCGUAUCAUAUAAAUAGAGAAUUUAACCGUUUUAUAAGGGAUAUACACAUAAAAACACUCUUUUAACACUUUUAAUUUAUUUUACUAAAAUCUUGAUCAAUAUUAGGAAUAAGUGGGUGCCUCAAUUCUAGACGUCUUUGCACAUUUAUAUUUUGAUUUUCUGAAAGUAUUAUAAUCAUACAGAUAAUUUAAAUUGAUAAAGUACGUACUAGCCGAGAUUUUCAUCAAUGGUUAUCUGCGUGAAAAAUAUACCAAUUUAACAUAACUAUCCUCUCAAAAAAAUAAUGUUAAUGUAAACCUACAAUCAAGAUUUCAAAUUUUUAAAUAUUUACUUAUUUAAUAAUGAAUGAAAUAUAGCUUAUUUUAAUUAAACUAAAAAGAAAAAAAAAUUCACUUAACUCGUUCAUGAUAUACAUAUUUUGCACAGAAUUAAUCCAAACCAAACCAUCAGUUGUUUUAUAGAUAAAAAUUUAUGGUAUGAUUGAAAUAAUUAUCCUCAGAUCCAAUCUAAACACGGUUCACCGGGAUCCUGUGCACCCAACAUUAGCCCGCACCAUUUAAAUCCUCCACGUGUACCUCUUAUCGUUCGAGUACAACGAUUUAGCUACAUUCGCGAGUACGCAUUAAUCCGGCCUCAUCAUCUAGUGUAACUUUGUAAAAAAGGGUCACCGUCUCUCUGUCAAUUCCUUCCUUCCAACCACAUAUAUACAGCACGCCCCUCUUUCAUUUUUCUCCAUCUCCAUAUCUCUCAGCUCAUUUCUUCUCUUGUAACACUGCUAAUAUUUUUUUUUAUCGUCGUCUCCGUCGUUCGAAGAUUAUAAAAAACCGGCGUCGUUUCAAAUGGCUACGAGAACGGAUCUUGAUGGGAGGCCAAUAAAGCCGUUGACGAUAUGCAUGAUCGGCGCCGGAGGCUUCAUCGGCUCCCACCUUUGCGAGAAAUUGAUGUCGGAGACGCCGCACAAGGUGCUCGCCUUGGACGUUUACAAUGACAAGAUCAAGCAUCUCCUCGAGCCUGACUCUCUCCCUUGGGCUGGCCGUAUUCAGUUCCACCGACUUAACAUUAAGCACGAUUCUAGGCUCGAAGGCCUCAUCAAGAUGGCAGAUCUCGUAAUUUCUUGCCUUUCUUGCUCUCUCUCUUUUCUUAUAUCAUUGAUACUACUUCCUUUUGCUGAAAAUUAUGUUCAGGCGGAUCUUUUGCUGUUUCUCUUUAUUUUCCGCUUGACUGCUUUUUCUUCGUUUUGUUUGUUUAGUGUUCCCUUUUGUUUUAAUUUAUUAGAUCUCAUGCAAUCUUGUUUUUGUUUAUGUGAUUUUGAAGUUCCUCUGGAGCUAAUUUUCUCCCAUUGUUGUUUAAAAGCUAGUUUCUUAUUAUCUGUUGGAUUUAUUUUGUUGAGUUUCAAAAGUUCUUGCUGAAUUUAUGGCGAUUGAUUUGGUUUUUAUUGUUUUUCUGGCAAUGUAGACGAUAAAUCUUGCUGCCAUAUGUACUCCGGCAGAUUAUAAUACGCGUCCACUAGACACGAUUUACAGCAAUUUUAUUGAUGCACUUCCUGUGGUAAGCAUUUCUCUUGUAAUGGUUUUUUGUCAUCUUUUAUUUCUCUUUUAGUUAGAUUGAUGUCGAUGUGAAUGAGGGGGGAUUUGAUUGUUACUAGCUUUUUGAGAUCGAAGUUGAAGUCAGUGCUGUGAACUUGUGGUUUGAUAGGUGAAGUACUGUUCAGAGAACAACAAGCGUCUGAUUCACUUCUCUACUUGUGAAGUGUAUGGAAAAACUAUUGGAAGCUUUCUUCCUAAAGAUUCUCCUCUCCGUCAGGUAACCUUUCACUUUCCUUUUUUAAUAGCUUAAUUGAGUAUCUCUUGAAAAAGGAUUUUACAUCUAUGCUUUGCUUUUAACAGGGUAACAUGUGUGGUUUUGUAUAGAUCUUUCGGUGCUCUUUUUAUGUGAAAGAUUCAAUGUUUAUUUUUUGAUUUAUAUGUUUUAUAUUUUAGUAGGAAAAAAAAAUUGGAGUUGGUGUUGAGCUGAAAUGUCAAGCUAUUUUAAAUGAAUGAAUCUUGAAAUUGGAUGGUCUGCAGACAUUGGUCAAUGCCCUCCUAAAAAAAUGGAGGGUCGUUGGUGGGAGUUUAUGUGGUUGUUUGGUUCAAUGUAAUAGCAACUUACUGUGAUAGUUGAAUGGUUAAUGAGGUCUUACUUAGUCUGUCAAGUUGUACUUAUGAGUUGUUUAUAACAAGUUAUGCCAAUUUUAUUUGCUGGUCAGCCCCUUUAUGCGCAAGCAGUGUCAAGCCUUGCAAGAUCUUUAUUCCUGCACUGAUUAUUGAUAUUAUCUUCUCAAGUUUUUAAAUUUUGUUGACUAUCAUUUAUUUUCUUUCUUUGUCAGUCAUGUUUAUAACCUUUUUCUAUAAAAAAAAAAAAGGAGACUUUUGGAAAAGCUCUUCUAUUAAUUUGUUUGCUUCAUGAGGCUGAAGGGUUCAAAGUAUGCCAUUUUUUUAAAAGACUUUUGUUUAUCAAGCAAUCUGCUUUUUAGACGUAUUUUAUGUGUAUGGCUAAAUCUGUGGUGAUGCUGAGAAUGAUUUAGUAUGCUUUGUUUUGUUUUUUUCUCCUUUAAAUUUUUAAGUUUCCUUUAGUGUUAUUGUUCCUUUUCCCCUCCCAUAUUUAUAGAUGUUAUUAAUAUGUUCAUUCUCUGAUUUAUGUGAUAUAGGAUCCUGCCUACUAUGUUCUUAAGGAAGAUACUUCCCCCUGCAUUUUUGGUUCAAUUGAGAAACAGAGGUGGUCCUAUGCAUGUGCUAAGCAGUUGAUUGAGAGGCUCAUUUAUGGUUAGCAUCUUAUCAAGUAGCCUGUUCCCAAUAGAGAUGCUUAGAAUUAUAUUAACUGACUUAAUUUUAUAUCGAUUUCAGCUGAAGGGGCAGAGACUGGGCUCGAGUUCACUAUUGUGAGGCCUUUUAACUGGAUUGGACCCAGGAUGGAUUUCAUUCCUGGUAUUGAUGGUCCUAGUGAGGGAGUUCCCAGAGUUCUUGCAUGCUUUAGUAAUGUUAGUCGAACUCUUUUCCUAAUUCUAGGAAUCCUAGACGCCGCCUAUAAUUUCUCCUUUCAAUUCUUUGAUAGUUAUAUUUUGAAUGUUAAUUUUUCUUUUUCCUGUUUAGAAUCUCCUACGUCGUGAACCACUUAAACUUGUGGAUGGUGGCGAAUCUCAGAGAACUUUUAUAUACAUAAAGGAUGCUAUUGAAGCUGUUCUCUUGAUGAUUGUGCGUAUUAACUUGUCUCUUCUUACUCACCCUCUUCCCUCCCUCAUCCCCACAUCUAGCCAAAUGCAGAAAUUAAACUAAGCUGUUGGGUUUCAUUUGUCCAGGAAAAUCCAGAUAGGGCCAAUGGCCAUAUUUUCAAUGUGGGUAACCCGAACAAUGAAGUCACAGUUAGGCAACUUGCUGAAAUGAUGACUAAGGUGAAGCACAUAGUUUCUAUAGUUCGUAUUUUUAUUUUUUUUAUAGUGGUAUAUUUGAUCACAUGUAAUUUAUAACUACAUGCCUUUGGGCUCUUCAGGUCUAUGCCAAGGUUAGUGGAGAAACUGUGCUGGAGUCUCCAACAGUUGAUGUCAGCUCCAAGGAAUUUUAUGGUGAGGGUUAUGAUGAUAGUGACAAGAGAAUUCCAGACAUGACCAUAAUAAACAAACAACUCGGUAGGUUGUGCUUUUCUUAGUUGGUCUCGUAUGAUCUUUGGAUUUUUAUCUUGUAAGUGAAUUGAGCAUCUGAUCAAUUGUUUCAUUACGGCAAACAGGUUGGAACCCCAAGACAUCCCUUUGGGACUUGCUCGAAUCUACCCUAACCUACCAACACAGGACUUAUGCCGAGGCUAUUAAGAAAUCCAUAGCAAAACCUUCUGCAUCCUAAAGGAGGCUAGAUGUUUAAACCACGGCUAAGAAAGGACUCAUGAAAUGUGCUUUAUGGCAAAUGUUACAAUUCUUCUUUCCCCCGCUUCUUUUAGGAAGUCUUUAAAUAUAUCAUAUAUGUUGAUCUUCUUUAUACCCCCCCCUUUUUUUUUUUUUUUUGUCUUCCCCAUGUUGGUAGUCAAUAGCUCACUGUAGCUCUGGCAGCUAUGUUAUCAGAAUGGUUUUAUGUGGAGACGUUCUUACAAGGGGAAUGGUAUUGUUUUAGUAUUAUAAUUAUUAUUCCAGUGGAGCUUUGAGAUGCAGCAGCAUGUUGGGGGCGUCAAAUAUAUUACACAAAAGGAAAGGAUAAACUGUUUUUAUGGUUUUUUAGAUGGUUCUUUAAUUUGUCUCACCUGAGUUGUUUUGUUAAUUUGUUUGAACCUCUUCACUUGCUCAUGGUGUUAUUAUUAUUUUAUUCUUUUUCUCAUUCCCUAAGCAAAUCGAAGGGAAGAGACUAAACUGCCUGUUUAGUCACUAGUAAGAACGUCACGGUGUUGAAGAAUUAACAGCAGAGUAACUAAAUAAAACAAAUUUGAAAAUUUUAGUGAUUAAAUUGAAAAUUUGACAGUUAGGUGACCAAAAACAGAACUACAGUGAAAAUUUAGUUCUCAAUAAGUAGCUUACCCUAAAAAAAUGGUAAAAUAGCUCUUUUUUCUGGUCUAGGUUUCAUAAUUUUCACCGAUAAACUAUUGCCGUAUAAAAUGGCAACUAUUGGUAUAAGUUCAGAUUCUACAUUUAGAUUUUAUAGUUUUCGGGUUUAGUUAAAAUCUACAUUAGUUUUUAUGGUUUUGGAUUUAGUUAUUGUAUUUUAGUGUUGUUAUUUUUUUUUUAGUUUUUGUCAUUUUGGAAAUUUGAAAUUUUAAACUUUGACUAAAUAAGACUUGUUUAUUUAUUAAGUUAAAUUUUAUUAUUUUUAAAAUCUUAUAUAAAAAUCUUAUUAGAAUAGGGAACUUUACCUGUAGACAAAAUGCAAUGAGAACCAUCUUGGCCAUCCUCAUAACGGGCCUGCUGAAAACAACGUUAUUUGUCAAAGGCUGGCCGACUAUUAUAGACUCAACCAUUUCAGUUGUAUUCAGUUGUAUGCUGAUUAGGGUGUGUAAUCGGUUAAUCGAUUAGUUAAUUGAACCGAACUAUUAUUAAUUGAAUUAAUCGACUUUUUUAAAUUUUUAACCGUUAAUUGAACUGAAUUUUUUUUAAAAAAAAUUAACCGAACUAAACUUUUUCGGUUAAUUAGGUCUGUUAACCGAAUUAACCAAAAUUUAUAUAUAUUUUUUAUUUUUAAUUAAAACAAGUAUAAAGUACAUAAAAAUUAAUCGACUUAACCAACCGAUUAAUUUAUAUUUCCAAAAAAUUAACCGAACUAUAUUAUAAUAUUGUUUAUUAAAUUCGGUUAAUUCGGUUAACUGAUCGAUUUUGAACCGAUUAACCAUUAACCGAACUUCUAAAAAAUUAUUAACCGAUUUCUGACCGAAUUAAUUCGGUUAACUGACCGAUUAACCGAAUUCAGUCGGUUAACCGAAUUAAUUCGGUUUUAUCGGAAACUUACACAUCCCUAAUGCUGACUGUCACUAAUUGUAAUUGGUAGCACGAUAGAACCUCUUGGUUGGCGAAGCCAUAAAUAGAGCUUGCCUUUUUUAAUACUAUUUCUUUGAGGCCUAUCUAUUUGAACGCAUCGUAAAGUAGUACUUCUAUUUGCUGUCUGUCAACCAAUGUUCUCCACUUGGAAGUCCGCAAUGAUUGUCAUAUCUAUUAGGGAUCGUUACCAUCAGUGUCUGAGAAAUUAACUUCAUCUCUUUCAUUGAAACUGAUUUGCCAGGCUUGAACUAGGUGAGGCCUUUUAAGUAGAGCACUAACAAACAUGGUGUUUCUUAGAUACGGUCCUUUUGUGUGUUUGAUUUUGCCCAUUCCUCAUUACCGUCGAUUAUUACGUUUAUCACCCCUUGAUUAUCUUCUUACCGCGAGCCUUUUCUUCUCUUGAUUCGCAUAAGGUUUCUCUUGCUUGGAGUCCAUUUGGCGGGGGAUCUGUGGUACAUACUUCUGUGCACAGCUGAAUCAAUUGCAUUUUUGAGGUUUACAGUCUUUUGUUCUGUGGUUGGAGGUGUUAUGAAAUUGGCAUUUAUGGGUAGAAUCUCUUUUGUACUGGUUGGGUCUCAUGGGAGGCGGGGGCUCUAAAAUCCUUGAUUUUCAAAUUGGUUAAAGAUAUAAGCGGGGGAAGCAGUGAGAGAAGUGUAAGUUUCAAAUCUAUUGUAGGUGUUCACUUUACUUGUUCCCCAUGUUGCUGGCGUUGUCUAUCAUCUCUGCCAGUCCUUUGACGUUAGGGAGAUUUGGUAGGAGCAGAGGAACAUCUCCCCCAAGUGUAAGCCGAAGGAUUUCUCUUUUGAUGUUCAUGUAGAGAAAGGCGAGCUUUGCAAGGGCUAUUAAAUCUCAGAGGGGAGGUUGACAGAGGAUUUAGACGGCGGUUUUGCCCCUUGAAACUCUUCUUUCAGCGUACUGGUGGGCGCUUUCGUAGAGGGUGGAAAGUCUGUCUAGAUAGUCAUUUAUUAGCGCAUACUUGAGGUGUUCGUAGUUUAUACUCGCAUUGAACACCUAGAUGGCCCAUUCAUCUGUUAAACCCUUAAGUUUCAUUGUUGUUGUGUUGAAUCUAGGAACAAAAUCCCGAGGUUUGCCAUCUUAAUUUCUACUUGAUGGAGAGUAUAUAUGCCAGGCUUUGUUGUAGUAUCUUGUUGGAGAGGAAUGUAAUCAUGAACACGUCCACCAACUCAUUAAAGGAAUGGAUUGACCCCUUUGUUACGAAAAAAUACUAGGCUUUUGCUUGCUUACUUAGAUUCAUAGAAAAAGCCUAAUAUGUUCACGUGGCUGCUAUACUAAACUUAUUGAUCCUCGGAUAGCAGCAAAAUUAUAUUUGACUUGAAAAUUUUGAAUUAUUUUUCAAAUUUCGAGUUAAUCAAAUUGAGUUAUUCAAGUUUAUCGAGUCAAUUAAAAUAAGUAUUUCAAGUUUCGAAUUGAGUUAAAUUUUACAAUUUAAUAACUCGAAUAGUUUGAAUAAUUCAAAUGAUAUAUUGAUGUAAAUAUCCCUUUGGUCACUAUCAAUUUUAAAAAUGAAUAAAUUAAUAUUUCUUAACAAAAAUUUUAAAAUAAUCAAAAUUUUAAAAAAUUCAAAUAAUUUUUAAGAUUAAAAAUACUUAUAAAAUUUUCAAUAUUUUUAUUUUAAAAAAAUUUAAAAAUUCUAAAAAAUAUAUUAAAAAAGUUAAAAAAUUAUAAAAUAUAAUUUUGGGGCCUAAAUAAGUAAAUUAAUUAUUUAAAUUUAAUAUAAUAAAGUAUUUUUUUCCUCUUAUUUUGCUUUGAAAGAGUUUUUCAAUAUAUAUGGUUUUAAAAUUUAUAUACUCUAACAUGGAAAUAAUUGUACUGUAAUAAUAUUUUAACUUGAUAUGUUUAAAUUUUUUAAAUUCGAACAAUUCCAUUCGAUUCGACUUAACUCAUAUUUAUCGGAGAUAAAGUGAACAAAAUAUUUUAGAGAAAAGUGUUAAGUGUUGUUUGCAUAAUAUGGAUAGUAAUUAAAUAAAUAAAACUCUUAAAUAAACCAACCUACCAUAAUUAAAGAGUUUUAUUUACAAUAUAUCUCUUGGAAUUAAAUAUAAACUUUUUUUUAAAUAAUAAUGUACUAAGCUAAGUAUCUAGACUUGAACUCAUAUUACACUCUCUUCAUCUCCGUGGUCGAACAUUACAAAAUGAUUCAUCUAUUUGAUUGAUUUCUUAGAUAAAUUAAUAUUCAUUAUUUCUUUGAAGAUUUCGCAACUUACUUUCUUUAAAUUAAUUUUGUCGAAACCAUUUUUUUGGAAAAUGACAGUCGACUUUGAUUUUGAAAAUGGAAACGAAAAAAGGGAGUCGCCACCAAUCCUUUUUGAUGAGGUGUGAUCGGCUCACCUCAAAUUAAUCAUUUUAAUAAAAGUUAAGAUUUACUAAAACGAUAAUUUUUUGGUCUACGAAAAUCAGAAAAUGAGUUCGAGAGUCGGUUACGCACGAGGAAGGAUUAGCACCCUCGACAUGCCCAAAAAUUGGUACCUAGUUGAUUAAUUAGUGUCUUAGUGUCGAAAAUUAAAAACUUGAAAGACUUUGAAAUACAAUCCCUCUUUUGUAAAAAAAAGGCUCAAAUGUUAAAGACAUUCUCGUCUCAAAGUGAUGAAAUGUCACAUCCAGUAAGUUAGGACACGACGUCUCGAACUUUUGAGAAUGAGCCUGUCUUUUACUUAAAAUUCGUGUAUUUUAGCCUCUUUUUUAAAAGGGUAUUCGAUUGUUUAGAGUGAACGAGAAAAGUCGAAACCUAGUAAGUUAGGGCAUGAUAUCUCGAACUUCCAAAUACCGGAUAUUGCCUUUGUUUGCAAAAACCUCAUCUCGAGGUGACAAGAUGUCAUAUCCAGUAAGUUAGGACACAACACCUCGUAUCUCCGAUAAUAAGUACUUUAUUCAAAACUCGUGUUGCGAUUUAAGAGGAUUGUGUCGUUAUUUAGGUUAAACGAGAAAAAAUCGAAACCCAGUAAGUUAGGGCACAAUUUUCUCGAAUUUCUAAAUACGAAGCUUGCUUUAUGAAAGAAUUAUUUUAAUGUAUCGAGUAAAACUAUGACAUGAUUUAUAGUCAAAUAUAAAAUAAAAUUAUGGUACUAAUAUGUAUAAUAACAUAAUAAUAGGUGUGACAGUGUUAAUAACAAUAAUAUGAGCAAUUAUAAAAAGAUGAAAUAAAAGCAAGGCUAGUAAUAUAAAAAUAUAAAACAAAUACAUAAGGGAAAUGAAAUAAACGAAUACAUAAGUAAAUAAAAAAAACAUGACAACAUAAAAAUGAUAAUGAAGAUGAAAACGAUAAUAAUAAUAUUGUUGAUAAUAAUAAUAAUAAUAGUAGUAGUAAAAAUAAUAAUACUAAUGAUAAUAAUAAAAGUAAUAAUAAGAAUAUUAAUAUUAGUAAUAAUAAUAAUAAUAAUAGUACAUUAAUAAUGAUAGUAUAUGUUAAUAAUAAUAAUAUAUAAAAAUAGGAAAUAAUAUAUGGUAAAAAUAAUAAUAAUAAUAAUAACAAAAAUAGUAAUAAUAGUAUGUGAAAUAAUAAUUGUAAAAAACUAAUAGUAAUAAUUAUAUUGAUAAUACUAAUAAUAAUAGUAGUAAAAAAAUAAAAAAUAUAAAAAUAAUAAUAAUAAUAGUAAAAAUGACAAUAAAAUAAGAUAAUAAUAAUGAUAAUAAAAAUAAAAAAUAAAAAAGUAAUAAUGGCAAUAAUAAUACCAUAAUAAAAGAAAAAGAAAUAAUAACAUGUAAAUAAUAAUAACAAUAAUAAAAAUAAUAUAUUUAUAAUAAUAAUAAUAGUAAAAAUAAUAAAAUUAACUAAUUUUAUAGUAAAGUAACCGAAUAAUUAAAAAGGGGAUUAAAUUGAAUUCAAACAGAAAGUUUGGGGAAAUCUAGAAAUAUAUAAAAGAGAAAAGGACUAAAUUGCAUGCGCAAAUACCCAUGAGGGACUAAAAUGGGCAAUAAUCCCUCGCUUCAAAACGCGCAGCAUAAGGAAGGACCAAAAUGAAAACCAAAAUAAAUUGCAGGGUAAAAUUAAAAAUAAUGAAAAAUUAAAUUUCAAAACAAUAAAAAAGCAGAAGGGCUAAAAGUGCAAUUAGCCCUUCCACUGAAAACACGCGGAUCCUUGGCCUGGAGCGGGUCGGGUCGUGCGUUAAGGCUCAAAACGACGCCGUUUUGGCCCUUUAUUUAAGUGAAUUUUCCAAAAAAAAAAAUCAUUUCAACACCCCUUUAAAAAAAAACUUAUCCCUCCCCUUUUUCUCUGAAGUGCUUCCCCCCUCAGGCCAAGCUCCGAUGAGCUCGACGCCGUAGGGUCGCCGUCAGCCGCAGUCUCCGGCCACCGUGCACGGUGGCCAGAAAUUCAAAAAAGGGUAUAUAUUUUUUCUUUCUAAAUUUUUAAAAUAUAUAUGUGUAUUUGGUAAGAAAAUAAAAGAGAAAAUAGGUUCAAAAUAAAAUAAAAUAAAAUAAAAAAAACAAAAACGAAAAUAAAUAAAACUUUUAUUUCGAAACCUUUGAACUCUAUUUGGUGUUUCUUACUAUGAUUUUGUGUUGGUGUUUUAAACUUUUUGAUGGUAUUUCCACCCUUUUAUGUUUGAAUGUCUGUUUUUAUUUCCAAGCAAAAAAAAGUCCCUUUUAGUUUACAUUUUUAGGCUUUUAUAGCUUGAUAUUACAACUAUUCUUGCUGUCAUUUCUUCUCCGAUUUUGUAGGUGCAUGGGCGGUGCUGAUACGGGUGGUGGAGCAGGUGAGUCAGAGGGUAGGUGGCCGAAGGUGGUGGCAGACCUAGGUGCGGCGCACCUAAGGUUUUUAUUUUUUCUUCUUUCUUUUUUUUUGGGCUAUUAGGGUUAGUUUGGGCUUGGGUUGAUAUUUGGGUUUAGGGAUUUGGUUUGGUUUUGUAUUAUUGGGUUAGGAUAGGUUGGGUUUUAGGCCAAGCAAAUUGGGCUUAUAAUAGCUGCCCCUCUUUGUUCGUUAUCGUGUAACGAGAACAGAGCAAAGACUUUUAAGAAAGACCAAUUUUUCCUGGUCUCACCGAGUCUUGACUUAUGUCGUGCUCCUCUUCUUUAGCUUGCCUCGUUCCAGUCCAUUGCACUUUUAAGAAGAUAAGAUCUUCAACUUCAAUCUGUUCCAUUGCCACUUUAGGGAGAUGGAAUUUGUUUUGAUCUACUCUGCUGCAACUUUAGGGAGAUAAGACUUGCAACUUCAACCUGCUCCACUGCAACUUCAGGGAGAUAAGGUUUGUUUUGAUCUGCUUUACUGCAACUUCAGAGAGAUAAGAUCUGUUUAUUCAUAGCUUCAAUCUGUUCCACUGCAACUUCAGGGAAAUAAGAUUUGCUAUCUUCAGUUUGCUCCACUGCAACUUCAGGGAGAUAAGACUUGUGACUUCAAUCUACUCCGCUGAAACUUUAAGGAGAUCUGCUGUGGCUUCGAGCCGUUCCAAUGCCAUUUUAGGGAGAAGAGAUCCGCUGAAAGUUCAAGGAGAUCUGCUGUGGCUUCUAGCUACUCCAACGCCAUUUCAAGGAGAAAAGAAUCAGCUGAAACUUCAAGGAGAUCUGCUGUGGCUUCUAGCCGCUCCAACGCCAUUUCAGGGAGAAAAAAUCCGCUGAAACUUCAAGGAGAUCUGUUAUGGAUUUUAGCCGCUCCAACGCCAUUUCAAGGAGAAGAGAUCCGCUGAAACUUUAAGGAGAUCUGUUGUGGCUUCUAGCCGUUCCAACGCUAUUUUAGGGAGAAAAGAUCUGCUGAAACUUCAAGGAGAUCUGCUGUGGCUUCUAGCCGCUCCAACGCCAUUUCAGGGAGAAAAAAUCUAUAAUUUUCAGCCUGUUACCCUACUGCUUAGGGGGUCAAGGCUCAUUGCCUUCAAUCUGUUUCCCUACUGCUUAGGGUGAUAAGAUCUGUAAAUUCAGCCUGUUACCCUACUGCUUAGGGGGUUAAGGCCCAUCACUUUCGAUCUGUUUCCCUACUAAUUAGGGUGAUAAGAUCUGUAAAUUCAGCCUGUUACCCUACUACCUAGGGGGUUAAGGCCCAUCGCAUUCGAUCUGUUUCCCUACUACUUAGGGUGAUAAAAUCUAUAAAUUUAGCCUGUUACCCUACUGCUUAGGGGGUUAAGGCCCAUCACCUUCGAUCUGUUUCCCUACUGUUUAGGGUGAUAAGAUCUGUAAAUUCAGCCUGUUAUCCUACUGCUUAGGGGGUUAAAGCCCAUCGCCUUCGAUCUGUUUCCCUACUGCUUAGGGUGAUAAGAUCUGUAAUUUCAACCUGUUGCCCUACUACUUAGGAGGUUAAGGCCCAUCGUCUUCGAUCUGCUCCACCACUACUUAGGGAGACAAGAUCUGUAAUUCGACCUGUUACCCUACUGCUUAGGGGGUUAAGGCUCACCGUCUUCGAUCUGCUCCACUACCGCUUAGGGAGAUAAGAUCUGUGAAUUCACCGAUGUUGCUACACCGUCCUCUAGGGACAUGAUCUGUAGAAUCGGUUUCAUGUAUCUAUGCUUAUGCCAAAUAAUUAGGAUGCUAUGAUCGGAAUGAAUCAAAUGCUCCUAACUAGAUGUGAUGCUUGUGUCAAAUAAUUAGGAUGCUAUGAUCGAAAUGAAUCAAAUGCUCCUAACUAGAUGUGUUAUGCUUGUGUCAAAUAAUUAGGAUGCUAUGAUCGAAAUGAAUCAAAUGCUCAUAAUUAGAUGUGUUAUGAAUGAUAUAUGAAUGCAGAAAUGAAAAUGAUCUUUUUUAAAAGGCUUAAGGUAUCAUUGCUCGUUGUUCAUCAGGAAUGACGUAUCACGCUGCCAUUUUGUUCGGCUGGUAUUCAGAAAAGUCAAAGAAACAAUCACAUUCUGCUCGGCAAGCUUGCCCCGCUGAAAUUUCAGAAUCCCUUCCACUGUUCCUUCUGGGACAUAAAGUUUGUAUCUCCCAUCGUAACUUCAGGGGAAUAACAUUUGGUUUCUUCCAUCCAUCCUCUUGCAACUCAGAGGUAUAUGAUUUGUAUCAUCUUCAAUCAAUUUGAUCUAUUACACCAUUCUCUGGGUGUAAUGACCAGAUGUAUGUGCCUGAUAUUUACAUGAAUGCAGAGUAUCAUUUUUCUUUUCCCGAGAACGAUCCUCUUUUACCCUUUGGUUGACAUUGCUCAUUUUCGUCGAGAUUGUAUCAUCUACGCGAUGUCUUGUCUUUUUGUUCAACAAAUAAAAAUUCCAAAGAGAUAAUCAUCUUUCUUCAAUAUUUCCAACCCUUAGGCUUGGUGAGUUUUAAACAAUAGUCCUGUUUCAGGUUCUUGUAUUAUUUAGAAGCUUCCAGAGUAAUAUGGAAAACUUCUUUUGUGAAAGUAUUAUUGGUCCACGAAUCUUCAUUUCAAUGCAAAAUGCUUGAAAAAGAUCAUAACAAUGGACCGAAAGGAAAUUAAUCAAGAGCAUAGCUCGAAGCAAGUGAGUUAAUUAAGGAUCGCAAAUACAAUUAAGAAGAAAAUUUAUUGGGAUGUAUCUUGAAAUGAAUAAGUUAAUCAAAUAUAACAAAUUCAAAAUGGGUAAAAUAGAAGAUUAGGUUGCCCCAGACAUCGCAGCUUGAGUUUUUUUGUACCAACUUCUUGAGGAUCUUUCUGAGCUCAAUAUGUGUUUAGGGGAUUCAGAGUACUUUGUCGAUGCCCCAAGACGUAGCAUACUUCUUCAUUGUUAAUUCAGGCAUAGCAAGACUGCUGUAUGCCCCACUUUGAUCCAAAUUUAAGCCGCCCUUUUCGGGUUUUCAACUCGAAUCCCUUUUGGUCUCAAGGCGCCCUUUGCAGGUUUUCACCAUGACCUCUCCUUUUUAUUUUUCUCUUUUUUUUUAAGUCGCCCUUUGCGGGUUUUCACCUUGGCCUCUUUCCUUUUAGGUAGAAUACUCCUUGACUGGAUUUGAAUUCACCAGUUUGGGCAAAUCUUUGCCAUCCAUCAAUGCCUCUCCAGAACAAGCUUUUUUUACUACAUAAGUUCCUUCCCAGUUUGGCAUCUACUUUCCUCUAAAGUCAUUUUGUAUAGAAAGAAUCUUCUUCAAUAUCAAGUUCCCUUCGUGGAAUUCUCUAGGAUAAACCUUUUUAUAGUAAGCUUGCAUAAGUCAUUUCCGGUGCAUUAGACCUCGACAGAUAGAUUUUGACCCUCUCUCUUCAAAUUCAAUUGAUCCUAUCGGGAUUGGAUCCAUUUUGCCUUAUCCAACUUCAGCUCUAACAAGACUCGGAGAAAAAGAAUCUCGUCUUCGAAAUCGAUUUUAUCCCAUAAACCCAAGAGCAAUGUGUUGCCCCGGCUAAGGUCCUAGACGACGUUUGAUAAGCAUAGAGGAUAAAUGGUGACUUCUUAUGCUAAUCUUUACAAGUCUCGGUCAUCUUCCCCAUGAUCCUUAGUUUGUUGUUUUUGUUUUUUUUAUUUCUUUUUUUUUGCCUUUGCUGCAUUGCAAUAUAGCACCUAAUCUUUAAACAGACUGUAAAAUUUUGACAUUGUGCAGUUGUGUUAGACAUGAUCUUUUCUGGCAUUCUUUGUUGGCAUUUUUUUUGGAAUUUGAUGAUUGCCUACUUAGUAGCAUUGGCUUAUGAAACAACUUUUACCCUUUUCGUGAAGUAAUCGACGACCCUAAAGAUGAAUCGGUAUCGGUUAGAAGCUUUUGACUAGAUCAGCCUCAUAAUAUCCAUGCCCCACAUAUAUAAAAUUUGUGAAGAAAUUGAGGAGGCAUAAAAGUCUUGUCUUCCUCCUUUUGGCAUUCAUGGCUUGACUGAUACAAUCCCCUUCCAUGGUGGAUCAGCAGUACCCGAACCUCAUGAUUAGCCUAGCAAUCGAAAAACCAUUAUCAUGUGCUUUUCGAACACCUCAUAGCAUUCUCACGUCUUAAUAGCCUAGGCAUAUCUUGAUGCGAUCAUGCAAAAACAUCAUCUUUGAAUUGGGAAUAACUCAAUGAUGUCUUGCUUUGUUUUUGUGGUGAGCUAGGCUUUGAUCUUCACCUCUUUUCUUGCAAUGUUCACUGACCCUUUGUAGAGUAGGAUCUGUUUUCAUCUUGUUCUACCAUCCUUAACAAAUCAGGAGAUAUGUUACAAUCUUUGUUAUUUUCAAAGUCCUAAGAUCCCUCUAGACACAUAUCUCGCUCAAAAUGAGAUUCUGGGUUAGUAGUAGCGUUACUCAUGUCGUUGAUAUUUGGGUACCUAUUGUAGGUACAAAGGAAGAUUUCAAAGCAUAAAUGAAUCUAAGAAUGAUCAUUCGUGUGGUAUGAUCAUGAACGAAGAAUAUUUGAAAGAGAGUUCAAAGAACAAAAGAAUCUAUAAAUGGAAAUAAAAGAAUAUUUGUUCAAACAAAAAUGCAUUUUAUUGAAAUAAAGAUUUUUGGACAUAAGCCUAUUUCACAAAAGGCUUCUUAUUGCUCCUAGGCUUAAAGCAACAAGCUUGUUUUGAAAAUUACUCUAAAUUGGCUGUAAGAAAUACAAGGAUCUCUUCCACAAUCCCAUUGUUCAAAACCCUUCCCGACUCAUUAGGGCGAAUAUCUGAUCAAUUUUAUUUUCCAAUUCUUUCUUUGGAUAUGGCAUUGAUGCUCCAAUUUCCAAACGUUCCUUCUGGGCCUUCGACUUCUUCAAAGAAUUCCAACUCUUUUGAUUAAUGUAAUGCAUGUGAUGAAAUGCAAUGCAAAUGCAUGGAAUGAAUGCAAAAAAGAAAAAGAGGCGUUGAUUCUGAAUUCAAUUCCAUUAGAAUAACUUUUCUAGAAAAUAAAUUUCUUUACAUAAAACGGAUUACAUAUGCGGCCUUACUCUAAUAUUCCAAGCGAAGACACUGAUCUUUUUCAUAACCGGAUAUUAUGGUCGAAUCUUGCAAAUUUUUCAAAAGAUGUCUCUAUUAUCUCAUUUUUGCUUGAUCUGGACUGUGACCCAUUGCUCACUUAUCCCUGCAAUACUCGUUAGUUUCUUUAAGACAUGAUAGCUCUCGAAUAACCUUUGUUGGCUUGGAUCUUCAGGCGAUGAAGCAAAGUCAUGUAUUCCUUCAUGAACUAUUAGCCUUCUCUUGUUGUUUACUCAGACCAUAUUCGGACGACCGUAUUAUAUUCCACUUUAUCAAGAAAUCCAUUUUCCAUGACAAGCUUUUCUAUUUAGCAAUCGAAUGUGAUUCAACACCUCUUUUCUAUAAUGAAAAUGUAAUGCAAUCAAAACAAAAGCAACAUGCUAGCACAAGAGAAAUAAACAAAAUAGAGUACCUAUCUAGGUGACCACUAGGGUUUGGCGUGGUUCUACCUAAGGUGGGCUCCUAAGUCUCUCUAUAUGUGUUUCGUUCUAAGGAAGCGUACCUGAACCAGCAGAUUCCUCGAUCUUCACCCAUUAUAGGCUCAUAUAGACCGAGUUCAGUUCAGGGGAAUACAUUUCUCUAUGGCUACACGGAGAUGAAAAUCUCACGAAGACAUAGGUACAAAUGUAUCCCGAAAGCGAUCCACUAUCCUACAUGGAGGUGAAGACCUCACGAAGGAAUAGUUUCUCACUCCCACUUAAAAGGGUGUAACCACGCGGUCAUGUAAUGCAAUGCGCAGGUAUAUACAAAAAAGCUCGAGGCAAAUAAAGAAAAUAUGAAUAAAAUGAUGAAGAUCGUAACACAAGACGGAUAAAAUGCAAUGAGAGGAUCGUAUAUCAAAACCAAAUUUUCAAUCUUGGACAAAAAGACAAAAGUUAAUCAACUUGUAACUUGACUCUCUUAUUUGGGUCCCCAGUGGAGUCGUCAAGCUGUCGAAACCAUUUUUUUGGAAAACGGCAGUCGACUUUGAUUUGAAAAUGGAAAUGAAAAAAGGGAGUCGCCACCAAUCCUUUUUGAUGAGGUGUGAUCGGCUCACCUCAAAUUAAUCAUUUUAAUAAAAGUUAAGAUUUACUAAAACGAUAAUUUUUUGGUCUACGAAAAUCAGAAAAUGAGUUCGAGAGUCGGUUACGCACGAGGAAGGAUUAGCAACCUCGACAGGCCCAAAAAUUGGUACCUAGUUGAUUAAUUAGUGUCUUAGUGUCGAAAAUUAAAAACUUGAAAGACUUUGAAAUACAAUCCCUCUUUUGUAAAAAAAAGGCUCAAAUGUUAAAGACCUUCUCGUCUCAAAGUGAUGAAAUGUCACAUCCAGUAAGUUAGGACACGACGUCUCGAACUUUUGAGAAUGAGCCUGUCUUUUACUUAAAAUUCGUGUAUUUUAGCCUCUUUUUUAAAAGGGUAUUCGAUUGUUUAGAGUGAACGAGAAAAGUCGAAACCCAGUAAGUUAGGGCAUGAUAUCUCGAACUUCCAAAUACCGGAUAUUGCCUUUGUUUGCAAAAACCUCAUCUCGAGGUGACAAGAUGUCAUAUCCAGUAAGUUAGGACACAACACCUCGUAUCUCCGAUAAUAAGUACUUUAUUCAAAACUUGUGUUGCGAUUUAAGAGGAUUGUGUCGUUAUUUAGGUUAAACGAGAAAAAAUCGAAACCCAGUAAGUUAGGGCACAAUUUUCUCGAAUUUCUAAAUACGAAGCUUGCUUUAUGAAAGAAUUAUUUUAAUGUAUCGAGUAAAACUAUGACAUGAUUUAUAGUGAAAUAUAAAAUAAAAUUAUGGUACUAAUAUGUAUAAUAACAUAAUAAUAGGUGUGAUAGUGUUAAUAACAAUAAUAUGAGCAAUUAUAAAAAGAUGAAAUAAAAUCAAGGCUAGUAAUAUAAAAAUAUAAAACAAAUGCAUAAGGGAAAUGAAAUAAACGGAUACAUAAGUAAAUAAAAAAACAUGACAACAUAAAAAUGAUAAUGAAGAUGAAAACGAUAAUAAUAAUAAUAAUAAUGUUGAUAAUAAUAAUAGUAGUAGUAAAAAUAAUAAUACUAAUGAUAAUAAUAAAAGUAAUAAUAAGAAUAUUAAUAUUAGUAUUAAUAAUAAUGAUAAUAGUAAUAGAAAAAAAUAAAAAAAUAAAAAAAGUAAUAGUAAUAAAAGUGAAUAUAAUAGUAAUAAUAAUGGUAAAUACAAAUAGUAACAACAAUGAUACAAAUAAUAAAUAAUCUAAAGUUUGAAAUUAUUUAAAAAGAUACAAAUAAAAUAAAUGAUGAAAUAUUAAUAAUAAGAGUAAUGAUAUAUAAAUAAAAUAAGUGUGCUAAAAUAUAUAUAUUAAAUUAGUUAAUAUAAAAAUAAUAACGUAUAAGUAAAUACAAAAAAAUAUAAUAUAAUAAUAAUAAUAAUAAUAAUAAUAAUAAUAAUAAUAAUAAUAGUAUAAUACAAUAGUAACAAUAAUAAAAAGGUAUAAUAAUAACAACAAUAAUAAUAAUAAUAAUAAUAAUGGUAAUAGUGAUAUUAGUAAUAAUAAUAAUAAGAAGAAAUAAGAGUACAUUAAUAAUGAUAGUAUAUGUUAAUAACAAUAAUAAUAUAUAAAAAUAGGAAAUAAUAAUAUGGUAAAAAUAAUAAUAAUAAUAACAAAAAUAGUAAUAAUAGUAUGUGAAAUAAUAAUUGUAAAAAAUAAUAGUAAUAAUUAUAUUGAUAAUACUAAUAAUAAUAGUAGUAAAAAAAUAAAAAAUAUAAAAAAUAAUAAUAAUAGUAAAAAUGACAAUAAAAUAAGAUAAUAAUAAUGAUAAUAAUAAAAAAUAAAAAAAGUAAUAAUGGCAAUAAUAAUAAUACCAUAAUAAAAGAAAAAGAAAUAAUAACAUGUAAAUAAUAAUAACAAUAAUAACAAUAAUAUAUUUAUAAUAAUAAUAAUAGUAAAAAUAAUAAAAUUAACUAAUUUUAUAGUAAAGUAAUCGAAUAAUUAAAAAGGGGAUUAAAUUGAAUUCAAAACAGAAAGUUUGGGGAAAUCUAGAAAUAUAUAAAAGAGAAAAGGACUAAAUUGCAUGCGCAAAUACCCAGGAGGGACUAAAAUGGGCAAUAACCCCUCGCUUCAAAAGGCACAACAUAAGGAAGGACCAAAAUGAAAACCAAAAUAAAUUACAGGGUAAAAUUAAAAAUAAUAAAAAAUUAAAUUUCAAAACAAUAAAAAAGCAGAAGGGCUAAAAGUGCAAUUAGCCCUUCCACUGAAAACACGCGGAUCCUUGGCCUGAAGCAGGUCGGGUCGUGGGUUAAGGCUCAAAAUGACGCCGUUUUGGGGUUUAAGGACCCAGGCCAAAACAACGUCGUUUUGGCCCUCUAUUUAAGUGAAUUUUCCAAAAAAAAAAUUCAUUUCAACACCCCUUUAAAAAAAAAACUUCUCCCUCCCCUUUUUCUCUGAAGUGCCCCCCCAGGCCAAGCUCCGGCGAGCUUGCCGCCGUAGGGCCUCCGUCGGCCACUGUUGCGGUGGCCAGAAAUUCAAAAAAGGGUAUAUAUUUUUUCUAUCUAAAUUUUUAAUAUAUAUAUGUGUAUUUGGUAAGAAAAUAAAGGAGAAAAUAGGUUCAAAAGAAAAUAAAAUAAAUUAAAAAAACAAAAACGAAAAUAAUAAAACCUUUAUUUCGAAACCUUUGAACUCUGUUUGGUGUUUCUUGCUACGAUUUUGUGUUGGUGUUUUAAACUUUUUGAUGGUAUUUCCACCCUUUUAUGUUUGAAUGUCUGUUUUUAUUUCCAAGCAAAAAAAAUCCCUUUUAGUUUACAUUUUUAGGGCUUUUAUAGCCUGAUAUUACAACUAUUCUUGCUAUCAUUUCUUCUCUGGUUUUGUAGGUGCAUGGGAGGUGCUGACACGAGCGGUAGAGCAGGUGAGUCAGAGGGUAGGUGGCCGAAGGUGGUGGCAGACCUAGGUGCGGCGCACCUAGGGUUUUUGUUUUUUCUUCUCUUUUUUUUAAUUUGGGCUAUUAGGGUUAGUUUGGGCUUGGGUUGAUAUUUGAGUUUAGGGAUUUGGUUUGGUUUUGUAUUAUUGGGUUAGGAUAGGUUGGGUUUUAGGCCGGGCAAAUUGGGCUUGUAACAGAUUUUUUAUUUGUUUUCUUACAAGGUAGAAUUAGGGGCUUUUAUAAAUUGUUUUUAGGGAGGGAAAUUGAAUUAUAAUUUUUAAGAGAUUAAAAUAUAAAUUUAUUAUAUGUUAAUUUUAUUAUUUCAGGAUUUAAUAGAAUUUUUCUCAUUUGAGGCAGCUAAAUGUAAUUUUAUUAUAUGUUAAUUUAUAAUUUAAUCAUUUAUAAGGGGUUGAAUUAUAUUUUUUUUUUCAUUUUAAAUGGGGCCAAGGCUCUUGUCUACCCCUUAAAUUGACCAAUCUAUUUGGGUGGAGAGAUUGAUUGUAAAUACAAGUGCUAAUAAUAAGGAAUUAUUGUGACUAAUUGAAAGUUGCAGAUUUAAUCAUGUCAUUAAGUUGCAAAGAGUUUCCUUGUGGUUAACAAUGUAUUCCAUUCACAUCAACAACGACUUCUUUACCCUUUUUUGUUUGUUUUUUGUAAUCCCACCAACACGAAGUAUUCAUAGUUCCUUACUGUUCCAAUUAUUUCUAAAGGUCAUAUUGGAUAAAUGGACAUAGAACACAAUGCAAAAAGAAAAAGAAAAGAAAAGUGAGAAGUACGCAAAAGUUGACAACAUUUUAGUGAGGGAAAAGAAAUCUACGUUGAAUAAAAACAAAUUCAUGCGAUAGACAAACAUGAGUAAUUGAUUAAUAAAAGUAAAUGUGAUAAUAUGACUUUAGAAUCAUGUUCUAAUGAUGAUUUAAAAGAUAGAGACGGGUCACUUUGUGAAGAAGAAAGUUAGUGAACAAAGCGUAAUAGAAGAAAUUUUAAAUUAUUAGAGUUGUUCACUAAAGUAUAGUUUAGAUAAGUUUGAAACAUUUUAUCCUCCUAAAGAAUUGUUUUUUAAUGUUAUCGUUGGUGAGAUUAUCUCAUGUUUUUAAUGAUAUCGUUGGUGAGAUUAUCUCAUAUAAAAGAUUGAGUGUAAAGAGGUUGAAAGUGAUAAAAACCAAAUUGACGGCCCACACCUAGUGCAUAAUAGCAUACACAAAAUUAAAAUUGAGAAAAGAACGAGUGAAAAGAAUGAAAAGAAACAAAUAUGUUGUAUAUGCAAAAUAGAGAAGUGGUUAUGUUUUAACUAACUAUAACUUGAAUUUGUCUAUUGGUGUUUAUUUAUUUGAAGAUUUUAGUGAUCUACCGAGAGGAGCUCAAUUACAUUAUUAUUCCCCCCCCCCCCCAAAUAGAAGAUUUUACAUGUGGGAGUGAGAUAAAUUGAACAUUUAAAGUUUUCCACUAUUGGAAAAUAUAGACAUCACAUAUAUAAUAAUAGUAAUUACAUAUUAUUUACUAUCAUAAAAGAUUAGCCAAAAUUAAAAGUGAUGUAAUUUGGUUAAGGUUUAUUGGGCUUUAGUUAUUAAAUAAAGUAUGAGUCAAAUAUGUGUAGAUACUCUAGUAACUAAUUUCUAAUUGAUGAUGGGGUGAUUAGAAAUUAAGGUUAAUGUGCAAAGGUUAUACAUUAGGGUUAUGGUCCUCAAACUACACAUAACGUAACUUUUUUAAUAUCUCAUCUUUAGAAAAGAGAGAACCAUCUUCUCUAGAUUACUUGUGUGCUAAUUUGGAAGAUCAAAGCCAUAAAAUUUGAAGAUUUCAAGAAAUCGAUGAAUUCAAGUACACUUCCAUAUCUAACUUUGUUCUUAAUAAUUUUACAUGGUAGAUCCUAAUUUAUUAAGCUUUAUUUCAAAUUUAUUUUUAGAGUUCUAACAAUAAUAAAUAAGCAAAGGUAAGGAGAAUUCGAAAGUUGAUGCAUUAUCAAGAAGGCAUGCCUUGAAAUGCUAGAAUGUGUAUUCUAUUAAUUUUUGCUUUGUAGAUAAUGCAUGACCAAUUCUUAUUUAGAGAGAGUAAGCUUAGCAUGUUUAAUUGUUCCAAGAGUGAUUAUAGUGAUGGUUUAAUGGAUUUUGUUGGCGUUGGUAGAAUUUUAGACUUGAAAUUUUUACCCUAUUAUUUGAAUGAUUCUUCCUUAAUUUCUUAUUAAAUUCUGGCAUGAUAAUCCCAUUGAUUUUGUGGUAGAUUUAUUUAGGUUUGAGAGGAUUAAACUAGGUAAUUUUGUUGUGUUGGACAGAUUUUGAAUGCAUGCUAUGAGUUUGACAAUUCAACAAAUCUUGCUAAAUUGAACUUUAUGAAGAUGGAACACUUGCAUGAUGUUCUUAAAAAUAUUGUUUUAGACAUUCUCACGGUCUGCCGAGUUUUUGCAUGACUUCACUUGACACUGCAAUGCAACAACAAAAACAAAUGCAUUCAUCAGUUACGUUUGAGUCAUUAAUUUUCUUGUCUUAGAUUCUGUGAUAUUUAAUUUUAAAUUUGAGUGGUUAAAAUGUACGAUGAACCUUUUGCAGUUAGUGCUGGGGCUGAUCUUGAAAGGGCUGUGCACCCCACACAUGCCUGGGAGUUUGUUCGUAAGGUCAUAGUUGAUGCCAGAAAUGCUGGCAGCUAAUGCUUUGACGCAGUUGCAAGCUGAUUGGCGCUCUGGAGUUGAUUGGGCAGCCGCGUUGAGAGAUCUGAUCCCAUUGCAGCAAGGUGCAGGCACGCCAACAGCACCGUUGUUUCUCACGUAGGGAAUGCAGGGUGUCAAGGUUGAUAUAACUUGGCCACAACUUAUGGCCCCUUUAGCCAGGGGUGCACCCACAAUCAAGCACAAGACCAUAACCCAUGCAAGCUUGACGGACAUAGUGCUAGCCAUAUGAUUCAGUAAUUAGAAGAAAUUAAGCAAAUUUUAUAUAACUUGUAAGGAAAGUUGAUUGUUGUGUGCUUAGGGCUUGAGGGUUUUUAUAGCCAAAAGUUUAGUGAAUUGGGAUAUGACAAGAACGAAACAAAUUAAUUGCAUACCAAUACAACACGUCAGGAGUUGCUAAAUGUGGCUCAAUUCAAUACAAAGCUUUUUUUCUCUCCUUCUCAUGUUUUGGCUUUAAGGUUUAGUAUCUUUAAUGCUUGGAAAUUAGGUUCCAUCCACCACUAUCGGUUUUAUCUUGAUCCAUAUUAUAAUUCUCAAUUAGUUUGAAUUUUAGUAUAGUUUUUGGUAUAAUAUUAUCGCUUUUUCACAUCGAUCGGGUCUUAACUCAAUUUUAAAAAUUACUAGAAAUCUAUUUAUUUUAUAAACCUACACAUUAUUUUGAGAUAAUUUAUCUCUUUACAUUUUGAUAAAUCUAGAAAUAUAUAUACACAUAAUGAUAAUUAUAGGAUUUGAACCAAAAAUAUUAUAUCCUUUUCUAUUUUAACUUUACCAUUCUAACAAAAGCCUCAUUUAUUUAUUUUUAUCAUUUAUUUUUAUAUAUUUAUUAUAUAAAUGUUUUCACCCACUAAUAUAUAUCAAUAAUUUUUUUCUUUUUAUUUAUAAUAAAAAAAACUACCAAGAAAGUUUAUCAUUCACUUAAAUUAAUUAUUUGUUUUAAUUUUAAUUUAUUUUUUGAAAUAUAAUUAUUUUUAAUGAAUACUAUUAUUAAAAAAUUGUUUCUCAUCCGUAAAGUAUAAACCAUACUUUUCAUACAUUUGAAUGUUAGCCCUCCUACUAUAUUAUAUAAUGUUAUAUAUCAUGUAUAAUAUGUUAUAUUAAUAUUUUAUAUAUGUUUUAAUGGUUAAACAUUAUAAUAUCAUUCAAUACUAUAUAUUUUAAUAUAAUCUAUAAUAUAAUAAUAAUUAUAUAUAGUAAUACAUUAUAUAUUAUAUAUUAAUUAUUAUUUUUUAUAAUUGUAUUGGUUGAAAUAUACUCUAAAUCCCUAUAUUUUCCAUGCGUAUAUGAAAGUUAGCCCUCUUAUCAUAUUAUAUAAUACUAUAUUAUACCAUAUUAGUAGUUUAUAUAUAUACAUAAAUGGAUAAACGUUAUAAUGUUAUGUAAUAUUAUAUAUUUUAUUAUAAUAUAUAAUAUAAUAAUAGUUAUAUAUAAUAGUAGUACAUUAUAUAUUACAUAUUAUUAUAUAUUAUAUAUUACUGUUUAUUAUUAUAUUAGUUGAAAUAUACUCUAAGUCCAUAUACUUUUCAUACAUUUGGAAGAUAGCACUCCUAUAUUAUAUAAUGCUAUAUCAUAUAAUAUAUUAAUAGUUUAUAUAUAUGCAUAAAUGAUUAAACAUUAUAAUAUCAUGUAAUACUAUAUAUUUUUAUUAUAAUCCAUAUUAUAAUAAUAGUUAUAUAUAAUAGUAGUAUAUUAUAUAUUACUUGUUAUAUAUUAUUAUUUACUAUUAUGCUAGUUGAAAUAUGUUCUAAGUCUUUAUACUUCUCAUACAUUUAAAAAUUAGCCCUCCUACUACAUUUUAUAAGGUUAUAUCAUAUCAUAUAUUAAUAGUUUAUACAUAUAUGCAUUGAUGAUUAAAGUCGAGCUUUUUCAGGCUUUAAGUCGAAUUUAUCUUAGACUCGAGCCAGAUUGGUGUCAAGCUUUCUCGAGCUCAAGUUUUGUUGGCUCAAGUUUUCUCGGAAUUAGAUCGUUACGAGCUCAGAUUAGCAUGGGCGGGCUUUCGAGCUCGAGCUUGUUUUGCCAGCUCUAACGUGGCUUGUUUUCGCCAAUGAAAAAAUGUCAUGUGGCAUUUAGAUUUUUUUAAAUUAAAAAUAUUAAAUUUAAAUUAAAAAUAGAAAAUUAUAAUAUUAAACAUUUCAAUAUUAAAAAAACACUAUUGAUUUUGAACUGUCAUUGAUUGGCGUUGACUGGUAUUGACCAUUGUUGACCGACAGUUGGUUAGUGUUGAUCGGCAUUAAUCUGCCACGUGACACUAUUAGAAUAUGCCACGUGCCCUUUUUUAUAUUUUUUUAAUAUUAUAUAUAUUGUAUUGAUUAAAAAUGUAAAAAUCAUAUAUAAUUUAUAAAAAAAUUUAUAAAAUUUAUAAAAUUCUAAAAUAUAUAAUUAUAAUUUUAAAAAAUAAAAAUAAUAUAUAAAAAUUUUUAUAAAAAUUUAAAAAGCAAUUAAAUUUCAAGUUAUUUCAAAAAAAGACCUUGAAAUUUAAAUAUCUUUUUAGAAUUUUAUAAAAAAAUAAAAAAUUUUAAAUUGUUUUUUUUACAAUUUUUACAAUUCUUUUACAUUUUUGUAAUAAUAUUAUUAAUUUCAACCAAUUCCAUUUCAAUUAUUGUAUUGUUUUGUAAAUUUUAUUUUUAUAUAUUUUUAAUAAUUUAUAUAUAUAUUUAGAUUUUAUAUAUUUAUUUCUAUUUCCAUUUUUUUUAAUGUGUAUAUACAUUCAAUAUAAGAAAAUAUUUUUUUUUUACAUAUAGUUGCCAUAUUGCACUCUGUGAUUGGCUAUCAAUUUUUUUUAACAUCUGUGAAAAAAAUAGAUUCAAAAAUAUAACGAAGAGAUUUUAGGUACCAAACUGAAAAGUGAUUGAUACUUUGAGUACCAAAUUGAAAGAAAAAAAUUGAAGUACCCAAAUGAAAAAAUAAAUAUUCUUCAAAAGCCAAAUAAUAAAUUAAACCUAUAAAUAAUAUAAAAUUACUUCUAACCAAUAGUAGAAUUGUAUAAUACAUAAAACAUCCAUUUUUAUAAUAAUAAAAUAUUUAUACACAUAACCUUUUUUUUUGGUGAUAAAAACAAAGAAAAACUAAAUCAAAUUAUUAAGAUCAUAGAAGCCACUAGCUUUGUUAGAUUGUAAAACUGUUAAAAGUUUCGUAAGAGCUUUAGCAAACACCCGCACAUUAACCUUCCAGUCAGAUACCAUCUUAGCUAAACGGUUUGCAACUAGAUUUCACUCCCUCAUGAUAUGUCUUAUAUGCCACUAUUUUAUAUGCUAUAAGGCCUGAAUGAUCUGCCUGAUCAAAGCGGAAUUCGAAAUAGCUGAAACCCUUUCCUGAAUUACUUUAAUCACCUUUAGACUAUCAGAUUGGAUCAAUAUCCUAUCACACCCUCGUCUAUGUAAAAGAAUUACCCUAUCCAAAAUACCCCAAAGUUUAACAUCAAAUACUGAACAGCUCCCAGACAAUGAUUAUAAUCGAGGAUCCAAGCCCUUCUCUGAUGACGUAGAACCCAUCGACAGAAACAAUCCCUGCAUCAGACUUAACGGAGCCAUCAGGAUUUAAGACAAACCAGUUAUCUGACAAUGGAUUAUCUAGAACAGAAGAUGAAGCCUAUCUGAUUCCUUAUUGUGAGCCAAAAGGUAUUGCUUAGCCUAACUAAUAGAAACUUUUAUGAUCUCAAAAGAGCUUUAAGAUGAUCCUUGAAAAAUGAAAUAGUUCAUGUUCUUCCAUAAUUGCCACACAAGUAAUCAAAAGAGACUCGACCAACUAGCCACAACAUUAGACACCCACACGCUAGAGUAUAAAUUAAAACUUAUCCAAUCAGUUAACUCGUACAUGAAAAGAACUUGUUUUGCUAACUGUGUGGAACUACUUGUAACCAGACAUCUUUUGCAACAGAAGAAUCUCCAAGCACAUAUAGAACACAUUCAAAAUUAUGUCGACAUAACAGACAAGAGUCGUCCUGUCCAAUACCUCGCCUUACACGCUCCACAUUAGUUAGAAGUAUUUGUUUAAGGAUGAGCCAAAGGAAGGACCUCACUCUUUGGGCCCCUAAAACUUCCAAAUAGACUUCCACAACGAAUCUAUAGGAUGCCAAGAAAGGUUCAGAGCUGGGAAAAAAUGAUAGAAAAGUUGGAAGAGGAGAAAAUUCAGCUGGGGAUAGACAUCGAUAUCCAAAAUUUAGAAGCCAAAAAAAUGAGAAAGGGAAAGAAUAAGGCUAAAGAAGACUUGAAUAGUUUACAAACGGAGUACAAAAAACUUCGCUUAUCAAUAAGGACUGCUGGGUUGGGCAAAACGUCAGGACAAUGGUGAUAGGAAAUCUAAGAAGAGAAGAAUAGAGUCUAUUAGUGGGAGAAAGUUCCAAGAUGCUCGAGUCUAGUGGGAUGCUAUAAAAAGAGAAUUGUUAGAAAGACAAGUUGAAAAAGUUGGACUGAAAGCCCAGGUAGCGGAGUUGGAAAAAUCUUUGCAUCAACAUCGUAGUUGCAACUUUGUGACUAAGUUGAAAGCAAGUCGGGCUAAGAAUGAGAAGUUGAAAAAAAAGAUAGAAGAACUUGAGGCCUCAUUGCGAAAUUGUAAACUCCAAAUUGAGCUUCUCAAAGAAACUAGGGAAACAAACAAUGAAUAUUAGAAAGAGCAACUCCAACGGCCGUGUUAAAAAGAAACUAGAGAUCAUGUUAUGAGCGAAGCUUUGGCCUAAGUACAAGAAGUGGCUAACCACUUGCAUGCAUUAGCCAUUCAAGUUGAUGUUCUGAGCUUGAAAUAUGAAUUGGAGUCGGAUCGUGGCCAAGAAUUAGCUUGGUUUCUUAGGAAAGUUAAGGUUUUGAGUGUUAAGGUAAGACCAUAUAUGUGAAAUGUAUCUGCUUUAUGUAAAUAAACUUGUCUUCUAGUAAAGUUGUUCUAAGGGAAUUGAACUAGAAUCAAUGUCUUUUUUUGCAUACAUAUUUACCAUUCAUUAGCAUUGCAUUUCUUUAAAUACAUUAAAUUUUUGGACAUCAUUGAUUGUUUUAUUCCACCACCAAUCGUAUUCUGGGGUUAUCAUAUGAUUUGCGGUAAAUUUGUUCAUCUUGUGAGUUUGGUUCCAUGCGUUCGAGAUUUCACGGAUCUUCUUUUUAUAAUUGUCACCCUUGUAUGUGAACUCACAUUGGGCCAACCAUUGUGUUGCUAGAAUAAACUGCCUCAAUCUGUACUGCCUUAAUACUAGUAAAUAGGCAUAUCCAACAGCUCCCCAUAUUCCAAACAAACGGACCCAAUCAAAGUCUCCAUAUCGAUAAAGAAUUUUAUUGGGAAUCAUCUAAGGUGCUUGCCAUUUAACAUCUUCAUCUCGGAGACUUUGGAAAAUUACCAUCCGUUUUUCUUCAAAGAUGUUUUUUUAUCUUUGAGUAGCCAGAAAUUCCUUCAAUGGAGAAUAGUAUUCAAAGAACACUCGAUAGGAGACUUUUUCCAUCUUCCAGAAGUGGCUAUAGAACCAGACUAGCAAGAGUUGUGCACAACCAAUAAAUCUUCCUUCACCCUCUCUUCGACAAGCAUUCAAAGACCUAAAAAUUUCAACCAAGAUUGUUGGGACAUGAGUGACCAUUUUGUUGAGUCGGUCAAACAAAUCUGAACCGCAUCCUUUAUAUAUCCUAAUGCCUUAGGGAAGAUGACUAACCCAUAAAUACUUAAGGCAAAGACAUCGAUCUUUUUCCUUGUGUCUAGGUGUACCAAGAUUAAGCCCCGUAAACUCUUCUAAGUGAUGCAUUUACUAUCCCUUUUUCUUUAAUUUGGGUCGCGACUCAUUACUCGCUCAUCCUAGUUAUGUUCAUUAACCUCUUUAAGAAGAUUGGGACAUUGGUGGCUCCAGAGUAGGCUUUAUUGACCUGGACCUUCAGGCAAUAGAGUAAAGUGGUGUAUUCUUUUACUGUGGGUACCAUGUCUACUCUCCUUAAACUGAAAUAAUCGUAAUUCAAAAAUUGACGUCUUAGUGUCGAGAAUUGAGAAUUCAAAGAAAAUUUAAAAUGCAACCCCCCUUUUACAUGAUGUUAUUUGAUGAUAUUAAAAAUAUCGCUAUCUAAAUUAAAUUUGAUGGAAAAGGCUCUCUAAUUUUGAGUCGAUCCAGAUGAAAAAGUAAUGUUCCAUAAGUCAGGGCACAACAUCUCUAUUGUUGUUCUCUGUCUUUGUUUUGUAGGUUCUUGCAUGGUGGUGGCAAUAGUCAGUCGAGUCAACGGCAACGGGAGUCGUGCAGUUUGCCAUUUCGGUGCAAUCAUGGCAGAGGAGGCGUCAGAUCCUUGGACGUUGUGCCUGCUGACGUGGCGAGGGCAGCGGCGUUGAAGGUUUAGGGGAAUUAAGGUUUUGGGUUUAGGUUUUGGGCUUGGGUUAGGAUGUUAGGUAUUGGGUAGUUUUGGCCUUUUUUAUAUGUAAAAUGGAAUGUUAUUAAUGGACCCUUUUUGUUUAUUAUUUAUUUUAUUUAUUGUGUUUGGGCUGGAAGAACUUGGGUCAUUACAAUCAUAUUUUACCGCAGUUUCCUCUCAUGUCGAAAUAUGGAAAGACUGCUUGCAUGUUGGAAGAAAUAAAAAGUAUCCACGAUAGGACUUUUACCAAAAAGCUUGAAGAAUUCCCUGGUGGCUCCGACACUUUCUUGUUUGCAGUAAAAUUCUGCUACGGAGUUCAUGUGGAAUUUAUAGUUAGAAAUAUAAUAACAGUGUACUGUGCAGUGGACUACCUUGAUAUGACAGAUGAGUAUGGGAAGAUAAUUUACUUUCGAAGGCGAAAAGUUUCUUCCACAAAAAUGUACUUCACAACUGGAAAUAUUGUGUAUUGGCUUUGCAAAGUUGCGAAUCGUGCAUGCCAAGGGCAGAAAAGCUCCACAUAUUACAAAAAUGUCUGAAUGUUGUAUCUACGAUGGUUUGUAUGGAUCCAAGUUUGUUUGGUUGGCCCAUUAUGAUGUAUGGUAGCCUUCAAAGCCCCGGUGGAAGCAUUCUAUGGAAUGGAAUAAACACUAGGGCAAAAAUACGAAGCGCAUAAUUUGACUGGUGGUUCGAAGACAUCUCUUAUUUCAGUGUAGGUUUGUUUGAAAGACUUAUCAAAACAAUGGAAGCAAGGGGUAUUAGAUAUGAAUAUCUAGCUAGAGCUGUAACAUACUAUGCCGGAAAGUAUCACCAGGCCUGGGCCGAGGGCAGAGUAGACCGAGUGGCAAAGCUAGGACAAUCACGAGUUUUUGCUUGACUUCUGUUGCUGUUCAUCAAAGGGAUUUACUGGAAAACAUCGAAAAGCUUCUCCCAAAAAAGAAGGGCAAGUCAUUCUGCCGUAUUUUACUUGGACUUCUUCGUGUUGCAUCAAUAUUAGGUGUCAAUCAGACAUGCUUGGAUUCUUUGGAGAGGAGAAUAGGAAUGUAACUCGAAUUGGCUAGCCUUGAUGAUAUUUUGAUUCCUUCUUUCUCGAAUUCGGAUACUCUAUGCGGUACUGAUUGUAUAAAUUCUAAUUUGACAUGUUUAAAUUUUUUAAAUUUAAUUCGAACAAUUUCUUUUGAUUCGACUUGACUCUUAUUUAUCGAAGGUAAGUGAGUAUAAUAUUUUAGAGGUAAGUGUUAGGUGUUGCUUGCAUAAUAUGGAUAGCAAUUAAAUAAAUAAAACUCUUAAAUAAACUAGCCUGCCAUAAUUAAGUAGUUUUAUUUACAAUAUAUCUCUACUAAUUAAAUAUAAACUUUUUAAAAUAAUAAUGUACUAAGCUAAAUACCUGACUUGAAUUCAUAUUACACUCUCUUCAUUUGCGUGAUCAAACAUCACAAAAUGAAUCGUCUAUUUGAUUGAUUUCUUAGAUAAAUUAAGAUUCAUUAUUUCUUUGAAGAUUUUGCAACUUACUUUCUUUAAAUUAUUUUUUUAUUUGUUUUCUUACAAGGUGAAUCAGGGGCUCUUAUAAUUUUUUUUAGGGAGGGAAAUUGAAUUAAAAUUCUUAAGAGAUUAAAAUAUAAUUUUAUUAUAUGUUAAUUUUAUUAUUUCAAGAUUUAAUAGAAUUUUUCCCAUUUGAGGCAGUAAAAUGUAAUUUUAUCAUAUGUUAAUUUAUAAUUUAAUCAUUUAUAAAGGGGUUGAAUUUUUUUUUUUCAUUUUAGAAUGGGCUAAGGCUCUUGCCUGCCUGCCUUAAAUUCACCAAUCUAUUUGAAUGGAAAGCUUGAUUGUAAAUACAAAUGCUAAUAGUAAGGAAUUGUUGUGACUAAUAGAAAGUUACACAUUUAAUCAUGGCAUUAGGUUGCAAAGAGUUUCCUUGUGGUCAACAAUGUAUUCUAUUCACAUCAAUAACAAUGUAUUCUAUUCCAAAUAUUUCUAAAGGUCAUAUUGGAUAACUGGACAUAGAACAUAGUGCAAAAAAAAGUGAGGAGUACUCAAAAGUUUGACAACAUUUUAGUGAGGGAAAAGAAAUCUAUGUUGAACAAAGACAAAUUCAUGCGAUAGACAAACAUGAGCAAUUGAUUAACAAAAGUAAAUGUGAUAACAUGACUAUUUUAGAAUCAUGUUCUAAUGAUGAUUUAGAAGAUAGAGACGAGUCACUUUGUAAAGAAGAAUGUUAGUGAACAAAACGUAAUAGAAGAAAUUUUAGACUAAUAGAGUUGUUCACUAAAGUUUAGUUUAGAUAAGUUUGAAACAUUCUAUCUUCCUAAAGAGUUGUUUUUGAUGAUAUCGAUGGUGAGAUUAUCUCAUAUAAAAAGAUUGAGUGUAAAGAGGUUGAAAGUGAUAAAAGCCGAAUCUGGCGAUGUCACAUGGAAUGGAAUUUGAAAUCGAAGUUAUCAAGUUAAAAUCGUUUCCGUUUAUUAGCUUUUAUUUAUCUUUCGUCCAUUGCAUAACUAUUUUCUCAUUAAUUUGCUUUGUUUGAGAAAAAAACAUAUUCUGUAACGGAAGCAUUUAAAACUGUGAUAUUUAACGAAAAACGUUCGCGUUUAGGAAAAACGUUGUAUUUAAUAAAACCAAGAUUUAGGUGCAGUUCUAAAAUUCAUGGAAAUAGUUAAAAUCCAAAACAAAGGCAAAUAGUCCAAAAGUCCCAAUUUACAUAAAAAAAAAUACCCAAAAAUAAUAGAAAAUAAAUACUGUCACUGAAAUUGAAACAGUUCAAUAAUCAUGUGGUCACUGUUGAGCCCUUCACAGCACCGAUCAGUCUAAGGCUGAGGAUUACCUGUAUAGAUAAAACAGGAAGGGUGAGUUUACGUAAACUCAGUGUGUAAUCCCCAUAGAAGACAUACAUACAGUCAAACAACAGAUAUAAGUCGAAUGCAGUCUAGGGCCUAAGCCCAUUACAGAUUCAGAUACAGUUUAGGCCUUAGCCCAUUUAGAUACAGUUCAGAUAUAACUUAGGGCCUUAGCCCAUCUCAGAUACAGUAUGUAUACAGUAGCAGAACUCGAUAUCCUACCCACCAGCCUCUACACACCAUCUCUGACCAUCCCUAUACACCAUGUGGGGUUUAAAACACCCACCCAGCCCUACACACCAAGUCGUACCGAAUGCGGCACACAUCAGUAAUAUUGCAGCUGAGCUGCCAGAUAAUAGGCAUCAAAGCCUUUUAGUACACUUCCUCCAAUAAUCAAUCAUCCCACCCCAAUGCAGAUGCAACUAACAUGCUCAAUGCAAAUAUACAGAAAUACAUGCUAAUAUUCAGUUAUUAGUCAUACAUACGGAUCAGUAAACAUGCAUACAUUUAACAUGCUCAUUACAUAUAUUAUAUAUUUAAGUUACAUGAUUUAGGGUCUAAGUAGCGUUUACCGACCCUACAGUAGGUUCACAGUCGACUUGAGUGACCCGUGCAAUCCUCGGAAACACUUUAGCUAAAUGGGCCCACACGCCCGUGGCCUUGCCCGUGCGGAUCACACGACUUGGCCCAGAUAUCACACGCCCGUGUGGCGUGUCCACGUGGGCCCACACACCCAGUUUGAUUUAGCCGGUGUGGCCUACACGGCCAUACUCCGGCCAUCACAUGGUCGUGUCUUGCUCAUGGCCUGGCCUUCGUCGAUCACAUGGUCAUAUUGUCGCACACGGCCUACCACACGGGUGACCACAUGCCCGUGUGGCAUCGACAGUGGCCUUUUCUACUUUUCUCGAAAACUCGAUUUCUACGUUUCGGGUACAGGGAAGCAAAAAGAGAAAAUUUGGCAAAACAAAAAAGGAUAGAAACUGACGUUAAAAUUGAAAGAGGGGAAAACAAUUGUAAUUCGAAAAAGAAAAUAAUUCCUUAAUUAUCUCCACAAUCCCGGAAUUCACUCCCCCCUAAUCUCACAAACCUACAACCACUCCAGAAUCCCCACUCAGCCGAAAUUGUUGUUCAUCACCGUGCAAAAAUAGCACCUAUGCUCAAGCAGAGAUUCAAACUCUAGACCUCCCACUCACCAACACACAUUUUAACCACCAAACUAGCAAUCCCAUACUGUUAUAUACUUACAAACAAUUAAACUUAAAACCUUUGAGUAAGGUUAAGGCUUUAUUCAGAAAGAGACAAAAAUUCAUUAAGAUAAGGCUUGAACUUGGGACCUCACACAUACACCCAGAACACUUAACCACUAAAGCAGAUACACAAUUGUGUUAUAAUUCUACAGAAGCAGACAUAAGAAAUUUUGGGGCGUUACACCCACGCCUUGUGAAUAGUAGCAUACACAAAAUUAAAAUUGAGAAAAGAAUGAGCGAAAAUAAUGAAAAGAAACAAAUAUGUUGUAUAUGCAAAAUAGAAAAGUGGUUACGUUUUAACUAACUAUAACUCCAAUUUGUCUAUUGGUGUUUAUUUAUUUUAAGAUUUUAGUGAUCCACCAAGAGGAGUUUAAUUACAUUAUUCCACCCAUAAUAGAAGAUUUUACAUGUUGGAGCGAGAUAAGUUGAACAUUUAAAGUUUUCCACUGUUGGAAAAUAUGGAAAUCACAUAUAUAAUAAUAGUAAUUACAUGUUGUUAUUUGCUAUCUUAAAAGAUUUGUCCAAAUUAAAAGUGAUCUAAUUUGGUUAAGGUUUAUUGGGCUUUAGUUGUUAAAUAAAGUAUGAGUCAAAUAUUUGUAAUACUUUAGUAACUAAUUUCAAAUUGGUGAUGGGAUAAUUAAAAAUUAGGGUUAAUGUGCAAAAGUUAUAUAUUAGGCUUAUGGUCCUUAAACUAAAGAUAACAUAACUUUUCUAAUAUCUCAUCUUUAGAAAAGAAUUAGAAAAGAGAAAGUCAUCUUCUCUAGAUUACUUGUGUGCUAAUUUGGAAGAUCAAAAUUAUAAGAUUCGAAGAUUUCAAGAAAUCGAUGAAUUCAGACACGCUUCCACAUCUAACUUUUUAUUAUUAUUAUUUAUUUUUGAUAAUUUUACAUGGCAGAUCCUGAUUUGUUAAACUUUAUUUCAAAUUUAUUUUUAUGGUUGUAACAUCCAUAGGUAAAAAAAUAAGCAACAGUAAAUAAGCAAAGGCAAGGAGAAUUCGAAAGUUGAUGCAUUAUCAAGAAGGCAUGCCUUGAAAAGCUAGAAUGUGUGUGCUAUUAAUUUUUGCUUUGUAGAUAAUGCAUGACCAAUUCUUAUUUAGAAAGAGUAAGCUUAGCAUGUUUAAUUGUUCCAAGAGUGAUUAUAGUGAUGGGUUAAUGGAUUUUGUUGGCGUUGGUAGAAUUUUAGACUUGAAAUUUUUUACCCUAUUAUUUGAAUGAUUCUUCCUUAAUUUCUUAUUAAAUUCUGGCAUGACAAUCCUAGAUUUAUUUAGGUUUGAGAGGAUUAAACUAAGUAAUUUUGUUGUGUUGGACAGAUUUUGAAUGCAUGCUAUGAGUUUGACAAUUCAACAAAUCUUGCUAAAUUGAACUUCAUGAGGUGGAACACUUGCAUGAAGUUCUUAAAAAUAUUGUUUUAGACAUUCUCACGGUCUGCCGAGUUUUUGCAUGAUUUCUAUUUAAAGUUAUAAUGAUUUAUUUAGUCCUUCAACUUUAUAAAAAAAAAGUUAAUUUGGCUUUUCAUUUAAUUUUUCAUCUCUUUUAGCCUUUAAACUUGUAUUAUUUGUCAAAUCACUCCAAAAAUGGAUGGAAAAGUUAAUGUUUUUUAACUUUUCUGACAUGACAUACAUAUGGAUUGCCACGUAAGCAAUUAAUUUAAUUUUUAAAAUUUUAAAAAAGUAUAAAUAUAUAAAAAUAUAUAUUUUAAAAUUUUUAAAAAAAUAAUUAAUUGUUAAUGUGGGAUACACAUGGAUUGUUACAUAGAUAUCACAUUUUAAAGGCUAAAAGAGGUAAAAAUAAAUAAAUGGAGAGCUAAAAUAUUUUUUUCUAUAAAGUUAGAAGACCGAAUAAAGUAUUAUACUAUGUUUAAAUAUAUGAAAUUCAACAUAAUGUUUAGCCUCUUUUGAAUUCAUUAUUAGGGAAAAAAAACAUAAAUGAAAUAAGUAUUUUGAAGAUUAUUUAUGGCCUUUUAACGGAGCAAAUUUAGUUUUUUACUUUAAUUUUUAAUUUUUAGAUUUCAAAAUUUAUGUAUUUUAAAUACUAUUAAAAAAAUCUAUUAAAUUUAUUGGGGUGACACUUAAAAUAAAAGACACUUAUUUGUUAGUCAAGAAAAAAAUGAAUCUAAGUUUAAUAGAAUAAUUUUAAUAGUGUUAACAAUUAAAUUUUUAUUUUAAAAUUUUAAAAAUAGAGCAACUAAAAUUUUUAAAAUAAAAGAAAAGAUUAAAUAGGAAAUAUUUUAUUUCUUCGUUAUACGUUGUCAUUCAAUAAACUUAAAACUCAUGCAAUAGCUUGAGGUUUUAUUAUAUUUCUAGGGACAACUACGACAAAGAUAAAGAGCGCUGCUAUCCCAUGGAUCUUUCUACAUCCAUUUUUAUUAUGUAGCUAUAUAUCAUUAUUUCCUUUCCCAUUUGCUGACGAGCUUCCAUGGCCUACUUCACUUGACACUGCAAUGCGACAACAAAAGCAAAUGCAUUCAUCAGUUAAGUUUGAGUCAUUAAUUGUUCUUUGCCUUAAUUCUGUGAGCUUUAAUUUUAAAUUUGAGUGGUUAAAAUGUACGAAGAACCUUUUGCAGUUAGUGCUGGGGCUGAUCUUGAAAGGGCUGUGCACCCCACACAUGCCUGGGAGUUUGUUCGUAAGGUCAUAGUUGAUGCCAGAAAUGCUGGCAGCUAAUGCUUUGACGCAGCUGCAAGCUGAUUGGCGCUCUGGAGUUGAUUGGGCAGCCGCGUUGAGAGAUCUGAUCCCAUUGCAGCAAGGUGCAGGCACGCCACCAGCACCGUUGUUUCUCACGUAAGGAAUGCAGGGUGCCAAGGCUGAUAUGACUUGGCCACAACUUAUGGCCCCUUCAGCCAGGGGUGCACCCACAACCAAGCACAAGACCACACCACAUGCAAGCUUGAGGGCCAUAGUGCUAGCCAUAUGAUUCACUAAUUAGAAGAAAUCAAACAAUUUUAUAUAACUUGUAAGGAAAAUUGAUUGUU